This is a long non-coding RNA of Anolis carolinensis (green anole), 1725 nucleotides long. Lineage: Eukaryota; Metazoa; Chordata; Lepidosauria; Squamata; Anolidae. The record is from Ensembl.
UGAUUGUAAAUAUGGAUAAUGAAUUUAUGUAAUAAAGUCAGCAUAUCUCCUUCCAGAUGAGCUUUUUUCUUUUGUUGAGUUACAAACAAAUAAAUGCAUAUGACAAAGCAAAUGUAUGCAAACACAUUUGCUUUGUCCUAUACAUUUUAUUUAGGCAUCCUUUUAGGAGAAAUGCCUAAAACCUGUGCACAUUAGGAAGUUAUGUAUUAAAAUAUUAUGACAUGAAUGCUGGCAGACUACGACAGAAACCUGUAGGAGCAUUGCAUACUUGCAUGUGAAUUUUCAUGUGUGGAAAAUAGAGUGAUCAACCUUCCUGUAUUUUCUGGGAACUUCUGUAUGCCAUCUAAUUUGGAGGAAUCCUCCUGGCUCCUGUAUCACUCUUCUAUUUCUCCCAUAUAUUUAGAAGUACAGCCUCACUCUGUGUUUGUGUGUGGUGAGAGAGGGGUGGGCAGGAACUUUGGGGAGGGGGUUAUGGAGAGACAGGGGAGUGAAGGAAGAGGAGGAGGAAGAAAAGAAGGAGAAAUCCACCACUUCCACAUAAGCUUUUCAUUCUUAACUAACAAUGUAUGUACAUUAAUGAAACAACCUGGUUGCGUAAGUGAUUCUUUUCCACUUCAAAUUUUAUUACAAUGUUGAUUACAGUGUUGCUGCAACUCGACACUGAAAACUUGUGUUUCUCCAGCUCUACUUCACAAUGUUCCUAAUGCUGAUGCUGCAGCAAAACAUCCAAGUAGACAUGGACAAGGGGGAAAGGGGGGUGGGUCUACUGGGUAGGCUUUGUAAAAAAAAAGUUUGACUGACAGAGAAUAAAAAAUAAAAAGCCAGAGUAUAUAAAGCUCACAAUUUAAUAAGACCAUCUCUUAGAGAGAUGUGCUUAAAAUGCUCUUCUUAAAUUCUAGUUAAAGAUGCUAAGUCAAACAUUUGAGUAAGCAUAACUAUAUAUUUGUAUGGAUACGGGAUGAACAGGAGAAAAUGUGUGAUUUAUUGGUAUAUGAAAUGUACAUAAUAUUGGCUACAAUUCUGUUAAUUUUAAGUAUAGCAAGUCCAUGAUAUACUUAAAUAUGUUUAUUUUUUAUUGAUAAAGAAGUUAGUUGGUGCAGCGGAUUGAGUGCAAAGCUAGGGCUCAAAUCCACAUUCAGCAUGGAAGCCUGUUAAGUGAACAACUUUCAAUCUCAGAGAAGGGGCAUGACAAACUCCCACCGAAAAAUUCUUGCCAGGAAAAUACCAUGAUAGGGUCAUUUCUUCACAUCAUUUCUGACCAUAUGUCCUCUAAUGCCAUAAAUGGAUUUCCUUUAUUUAUAUUUCAUUUUGUCUGGCUGAUUGCAUAGGCUUUAUGAAUGAAGAUGCAGCAAACACUGAUAUGAGCAACCCUGUCUAAACUUUUUUUUUUUUAAAAAAAUAAUUUUUUAUUGAAGUUUUACAAUGAAUUGUGGGGGAGGGUAAGGGAGGAGGGGAUGUGACUCCUGUGUGUGAGAGGAAACAUAGGAAAAGAUAGGGAUGGGAGUAUUGGGGAAUAGGUGGUUGGGCAGGGGAAGGACAGUAGGUAAAUAGGGGGGAGGGGGAAGAGCCCUAUCCUAAGGGGGUAGGAUAGGGGGGGGGUACAUGACUUCCAGUCAACCAGCUUCCAUCUUCCAACAUGUAGUUUCUUCAUUUCAUCAUCCUUGAAAAUAUUCUUCCAGGGGUGACCAAUUUGUUUCUCUCAUUGGUCUUCCCGUAGUUUUUUUA